UACGGAGGAUCCGAGCGUUAUCCGGAUUUAUUGGGUUUAAAGGGAGCGUAGGCGGGUUGUUAAGUCAGUUGUGAAAGUUUGCGGCUCAACCGUAAAAUUGCAGUUGAUACUGGCAUCCUUGAGUACAGUAGAGGUAGGCGGAAUUCGUGGUGUAGCGGUGAAAUGCUUUGAUAUCACGAAGAACUCCGAUUGCGAAGGCAGCCUGCUGGACUGUAACUGACGCUGAUGCUCGAAAGUGUGGGUAUCAAACAGG
RNAcentral lists this ribosomal RNA (253 nucleotides) under uncultured bacterium. RNAcentral's name for it is "partial 16S ribosomal RNA". It matches the Rfam family "Bacterial small subunit ribosomal RNA", at positions 524 to 776 of the family's 1533-position model. The record is from RNAcentral.